This 202-nucleotide long non-coding RNA is filed under the name Elaeis guineensis (African oil palm). RNAcentral describes it as "long non-coding RNA (EGUI_LNC060603)". The record is from RNAcentral. Lineage: Eukaryota; Viridiplantae; Streptophyta; Magnoliopsida; Arecales; Arecaceae.
CCUUCGCAGGUGUGCUAACUCGCAUCAAAAACUCUAAAUGGCUGAUCCAAGCUCCUUUCUUCAGAUCUCCUGGACUCUUCUAGAUCAAAGGAUGAAGCUUUACAAAGAGAUGGUGGUGUGGAAGAUUGAACAAGACUCACUUUUAUAUUUUUAUUCUCACAAAAUCUAGAGUUGAAACCCUAGACCCUACACCUCACGCCCG